Molecule: ribosomal RNA, 482 nt
Filed under: uncultured bacterium
Lineage: Bacteria
Description: partial 16S ribosomal RNA
Rfam family: Bacterial small subunit ribosomal RNA
Source: RNAcentral
AUUGAACGCUGGCGGCAGGCUUUACACAUGCAAGUCGAACGGUAACAGGCUGCAAGGUUCUUACGAGUGGCGAACGGUGGAGUAAUGCAUCGGAACGUACCCAGUCGUGGGGGAUAACGACGCGAAAGGGAAGGUAAUACACGAUACUAUCGAUGGCGGAAUGCGGGGGAACGUAAGGCAUCGUCGGAUUUGACGCGCCGAUGUCAGAUUAGGUAGUUGUAGGGGUAAAGGGCCACCAAGCCAACGAUCUGUAGCUGGUCUGAGAGGAUGAGCAGCCACACUGGGACUGAGACACGGUCCAGACUCCUACGGGAGGCAGCAGUGGGGAAUUUUGGACAAUGGGCGCAAGCCUGAUCCAGCAAUGCCGCGUGCAGGAAGAAGGCCUUCGGGUUGUAAACUGCUUUUGUACGGAAAGAAAAGCAUCUGGUUAAUACCCCGGGGUACUGACGGUACCGAAAGAAUAAGCACCGGCUAACUUCGUG